CCUACGGGUGGCAGCAGUGAGGAAUAUUGGUCAAUGGACGCAAGUCUGAACCAGCCAUGCCGCGUGCAUGAAGAAGGCUCUAUGAGUUGUAAACUGCUUUUGUACGAGGGUAAACGCAGAUACGCGUAUCUGUCUGAAAGUAUCGUACGAAUAAGGAUCGGCUAACUCCGUGCCAGCAGCCGCGGUAAUACGGAGGAUUCAAGCGUUAUCCGGAUUUAUUGGGUUUAAAGGGUGCGUAGGCGGUCGGAUAAGUUAGAGGUGAAAUCCCGAGGCUCAACUUCGGAAUUGCCUGUGAUACUGUGCGGCUAGAGAGUAGUUGAGGUAGGCGGAAUGUAUGGUGUAGCGGUGAAAUGCUUAGAGAUCAUACAGAACACCGAUUGCGAAGGCAGCUUACCAAGCUACAUCUGACGUUGAGGCACGAAAGCGUGGGGAGCAAACAGGACUAGAUACCCGUGUAGUC
RNAcentral lists this ribosomal RNA (460 nucleotides) under uncultured bacterium. RNAcentral's name for it is "partial 16S ribosomal RNA". It matches the Rfam family "Bacterial small subunit ribosomal RNA", at positions 338 to 795 of the family's 1533-position model. The record is from RNAcentral.